GGCAGCGCGAGUAGUUUACUACUUGGCGGCGAGCGGCGGACGGCUGAGUAACGCGUAGGAACAUACCCCAAAGUGAGGGAUAAGCACCAGAAAUGGUGUCUAAUACCGCAUGUGCUCUAAGGAGUAAAGCUUCGGCGCUUUGGGAAUGGCCUGCGUCUGAUUAGCUUGUUGGUGAGGUAAAAGCUCACCAAGGCGACGAUCAGUAGCUGGUCUGAGAGGAUGAUCAGCCAGACUGGGACUGAGACACGGCCCAGACUCCUACGGGAGGCAGCAGUAGGGAAUUUUCCACAAUGGGCGAAAGCCUGAUGGAGCAACGCCGCGUGCAGGAUGAAUGCCUUAGGGUUGUAAACUGCUUUUAUAUGUGACGAUUAUGACUGUAGCAUAUGAAUAAGGAUCGGCUAACUCCGUGCCAGCAGCCGCGGUCAUACGGAGGAUCCAAGCGUUAUCCGGAAUUACUGGGCGUAAAGAGUUGCGUAGGUGGCAUAGUAAGUAGAUAGUGAAAGCGUUCGGCUCAACCGGAUAUCCAUUAUCUAAACUGCUAAGCUAGAGGAUGAGAGAGGUUAUUGGAAUUCCCUGUGUAGGAGUGAAAUCCGUAGAUAUAGGGAGGAACACCGAUGGCGUAGGCAAAUAACUGGCUCAUUCCUGACACUUAGGCACGAAAGCGUGGGGAGCAAACGGG
RNAcentral lists this ribosomal RNA (679 nucleotides) under uncultured bacterium. RNAcentral describes it as "bacterial SSU rRNA". It matches the Rfam family "Bacterial small subunit ribosomal RNA", at positions 65 to 776 of the family's 1533-position model. The record is from RNAcentral.